AGAGUUUGAUCAUGGGCUCAGGAUGGACGCUAGCUACAGGCUUUAACACAUGCAAGUCGAGGGGCAGCAUGAAGGGAAGCUUGCUUCCUUUUGAUGGCGACCGGCGCACGGGUGAGUAACGCGUAUCGAACCUGCCCUGUACACGGGAACAGCCUUGCGAAAGUAAGAUUAAUGCCCGAUGUUGAGAUUCCGCCGCAUGACGGAGUUUCAAAGAUUUAUCGGUACAGGAUGGCGAUGCGUCCCAUUAGCUUGUUGGCGGGGUAACGGCCCACCAAGGCGACGAUGGGUAGGGGUUCUGAGAGGAAGGUCCCCCACAUUGGAACUGAGACACGGUCCAAACUCCUACGGGAGGCAGCAGUGAGGAAUAUUGGUCAAUGGUCGCGAGACUGAACCAGCCAAGUAGCGUGCAGGAUGACGGCCCUCCGGGUUGUAAACUGCUUUUAGUUGGGAAUAAAAGGGCGUACGUGUACGUCGUAUUGUAUGUACCAUCAGAAAAAGGACCGGCUAAUUCCGUGCCAGCAGCCGCGGUAAUACGGAAGGUCCGGGCGUUAUCCGGAUUUAUUGGGUUUAAAGGGAGCGUAGGCGGGUUUUUAAGUCAGUUGUGAAAGUCUGCGGCUCAACCGUAGAAUUGCAGUUGAAACUGGAAGCCUUGAGUGCACGCAGGGGUGCCGGAAUUCAUGGUGUAGCGGUGAAAUGCUUAGAUAUCAUGAAGAACUCCGAAAGCGAAGGCAAGUGCCCGGAGUGCAACUGACGCUGAGGCUCGAAAGUGCGGGUAUCAAACAGGAUUAGAUACCCUGGUAGUCCGCACGGUAAACGAUGGAUACUCGCGGUGCGUGAGUAAUUGUGCGCCGCCAAGCGA
This 859-nucleotide ribosomal RNA is filed under the name uncultured bacterium. RNAcentral's name for it is "bacterial SSU rRNA". It matches the Rfam family "Bacterial small subunit ribosomal RNA", at positions 8 to 854 of the family's 1533-position model. The record is from RNAcentral.